RNAcentral lists this RNase P RNA (385 nucleotides) under Glycomyces lechevalierae. Its description in RNAcentral is "RNase P RNA component class A". It matches the Rfam family "Bacterial RNase P class A". Rfam says of the family: Ribonuclease P (RNase P) is a ubiquitous endoribonuclease, found in archaea, bacteria and eukarya as well as chloroplasts and mitochondria. Lineage: Bacteria; Bacillati; Actinomycetota; Actinomycetes; Glycomycetales; Glycomycetaceae. The record is from RNAcentral.
CGAGUCGGCCAGGCGGUCGCGGCGGAUGCGGGAGACCACAUCCGGCGAGGAACGUCCGGGCUCCACAGGGCAGGGUGGUUGCUAACGGCAACCCGGGGCGACCCGCGGGACAGUGCCACAGAAAGUAGACCGCCGGCCUCGGCCGGUAAGGGUGAAACGGUGGUGUAAGAGACCACCAGCGCCGCCGGUGACGGCGACGGCUCGGUAAACCCCACCCGGAGCAAGGUCAAGAGGAGCCGCGAGGCUCUGCGUGAAGGUUCGAGGGCGGCCCGCCCGAGUUCGCAAGAACGCCUUCACGGGUAGACCGCUCGAGCGCGCCAGCAAUGGCGCGCCUAGAUGGAUGGCCGCUCAAUGACAGAACCCGGCGUAUCGGUCGGCUCGUUCC